GUGGGGAAUCUUCCGCAAUGGACGAAAGUCUGACGGAGCGACGCCGCGUGAGUGAAGAAGGCCUUCGGGUCGUAAAGCUCUGUCAUCAGGGACGAAUGGCCGGUGGAGUGGAAAGCCACCGGAUUGACGGUACCUGAGAAGGAAGCCACGGCUAACUACGUGCCAGCAGCCGCGGUAAUACGUAGGUGGCAAGCGUUGUCCGGAAUUAUUGGGCGUAAAGCGCGCGCAGGUGGGAUCUUAAGUCCAUUUUGAAAGUUCGGAGCUCAAAUCCGUGAUGGGAUGGAAACUGGGAUUCUUGAGUACCGGAGAGGAAAGCGGAAUUCCCCGUGUAGCGGUGAAAUGCGUAGAUAUGGGGAGGAACACCAGUGGCGAAGGCGGCUUUCUGGACGGUGUCUGACACUGAGGCGCGAAAGCCAGGGGAGCGAACGGGAUUAGAAACCCGGGUAGUCC
RNAcentral lists this ribosomal RNA (450 nucleotides) under uncultured bacterium. RNAcentral's name for it is "partial 16S ribosomal RNA". It matches the Rfam family "Bacterial small subunit ribosomal RNA", at positions 354 to 796 of the family's 1533-position model. The record is from RNAcentral.